This 799-nucleotide ribosomal RNA is filed under the name Glaciibacter superstes. Its description in RNAcentral is "bacterial SSU rRNA". It matches the Rfam family "Bacterial small subunit ribosomal RNA", at positions 56 to 855 of the family's 1533-position model. Lineage: Bacteria; Bacillati; Actinomycetota; Actinomycetes; Micrococcales; Microbacteriaceae. The record is from RNAcentral.
UGCAGUCGAACGAUGAAGGGGAGCUUGCUCCUUGGAUUAGUGGCGAACGGGUGAGUAACACGUGAGUAACCUGCCCUUGACUCUGGGAUAAGCGUUGGAAACGACGUCUAAUACCGGAUAUGACAGCUGACGGCAUCGUCUGGUUGUGGAAAGAAUUUUGGUUGGGGAUGGACUCGCGGCCUAUCAGCUUGUUGGUGAGGUAAUGGCUCACCAAGGCGACGACGGGUAGCCGGCCUGAGAGGGUGACCGGCCACACUGGGACUGAGACACGGCCCAGACUCCUACGGGAGGCAGCAGUGGGGAAUAUUGCACAAUGGGCGCAAGCCUGAUGCAGCAACGCCGCGUGAGGGACGACGGCCUUCGGGUUGUAAACCUCUUUUAGUAGGGAAGAAGUGGCUCUUUUUUGAGUUGUGACGGUACCUGCAGAAAAAGCACCGGCUAACUACGUGCCAGCAGCCGCGGUAAUACGUAGGGUGCAAGCGUUGUCCGGAAUUAUUGGGCGUAAAGAGCUCGUAGGCGGUUUGUCGCGUCUGCUGUGAAAUCCCGAGGCUCAACCUCGGGCCUGCAGUGGGUACGGGCAGACUAGAGUGCGGUAGGGGAGAUUGGAAUUCCUGGUGUAGCGGUGGAAUGCGCAGAUAUCAGGAGGAACACCAAUGGCGAAGGCAGAUCUCUGGGCCGUAACUGACGCUGAGGAGCGAAAGCAUGGGGAGCGAACAGGAUUAGAUACCCUGGUAGUCCAUGCCGUAAACGUUGGGAACUAGAUGUGGGGGCCAUUCCACGGUCUCCGUGUCGCAGCUAA